GACGAACGCUGGCGGCGUGCCUAAUACAUGCAAGUCGAACGCUGAAGGAGGAGCUUGCUUCUCUGGAUGAGUUGCGAACGGGUGAGUAACGCGUAGGUAACCUGCCUGGUAGCGGGGGAUAACUAUUGGAAACGAUGGCUAAUACCGCAUAAUAGUAGAUGUCGCAUGACAUUUGCUUAAAAGGUGCAAUUGCAUCACUACCAGAUGGACCUGCGUUGUAUUAGCUAGUUGGUGAGGUAACGGCUCACCAAGGCAACGAUACAUAGCCGACCUGAGAGGGUGAUCGGCCACACUGGGACUGAGACACGGCCCAGACUCCUACGGGAGGCAGCAGUAGGGAAUCUUCGGCAAUGGACGGAAGUCUGACCGAGCAACGCCGCGUGAGUGAAGAAGGUUUUCGGAUCGUAAAGCUCUGUUGUAAGAGAAGAACGAGUGUGAGAGUGGAAAGUUCACACUGUGACGGUAUCUUACCAGAAAGGGACGGCUAACUACGUG
This 495-nucleotide ribosomal RNA is filed under the name uncultured bacterium. RNAcentral's name for it is "partial 16S ribosomal RNA". It matches the Rfam family "Bacterial small subunit ribosomal RNA", at positions 28 to 507 of the family's 1533-position model. The record is from RNAcentral.